Molecule: long non-coding RNA, 538 nt
Organism: Lolium rigidum
Lineage: Eukaryota; Viridiplantae; Streptophyta; Magnoliopsida; Poales; Poaceae
Exons: 3
Source: RefSeq, a predicted model, not a curated record
GUAGCUUGAGAAGAUGCAUCUCUUGCCAGGGUUGUGCAUUGCUAGAGCAAGGUUUUCUCCUCUGGUCCAUAUAAUCUCAUGGCUGUUGGGAAUUCUGGACAUCGUUGUGUGGUACUCCUUCCUUUUUUUCAUGGUUCCUCACAGCUCCGCUCAAAGACGUAAUUCAAUAGUUUGGAGCUUGAGAGACCACCAAGAAUUCUGGGGAAAACACACUGAACACAUCUAUUGUAUGCACAUUGAGAGAUCAACCUGUCGUCUUCUGGACACCAGGUUUCCGUAGCUGUUGUUUUCAUAGGGGUUUGUACCUUUGUAUUCCUCUUCGUGGGUUAACUUUGUGUAGAAGUAUAAGUGCAACCUAUGACGCUGGACAGUCCUGUUGCCACAGUUCAGUUUCAUGUGCACAUUUUUUUCGAUAAUGAUUUCAGGUGCACAUGAAUGAAACUCUUGCAAAGAUCAUGGUGCCACUUCAUUUUUUCAUAUUUAAAGUUUUAGUCCUCUAGAUAAAAUAAUAUAGUGCAGAAAUCCAACAAAAAAAUGU